Molecule: long non-coding RNA, 607 nt
Filed under: Bos taurus (domestic cattle)
Lineage: Eukaryota; Metazoa; Chordata; Mammalia; Artiodactyla; Bovidae
Description: long non-coding RNA NONBTAT019356
Source: RNAcentral
AAAAGUGGUAACUAAUUUUAUUAAGCUACCUAGUACUCUUAUAAAAGAAGACUUCAACAAACACUGCUAAUUUAGCACACCAGUGAAACAUAACAAACACAAUAGAUAAAUACAAAACAGAUUACACAUCUCUUUUGAUUAAGUGAUAAUUUUAAACAAGCAUUUUUUCAAUGCUGUUUUCCUUAUAUUAACAUUAAAAUUAAUUCAUCCCUUUAUGAACAUACCAAAUAGAAGACAAAGAGUUAUUCAUAAAGAUGCUGAGCAAUAAAGGAGAGGAAAAAAAAAAAGUAUACCAUAAGUCAUCAUGCUAAUUCACCAUACAUAAAAAAGCAAGUGAGUAAGUUAAUUUGAUUAUUGUUUUUGGAGAAAAACCUUAUAAAUGUGAUAACAGCACUGAGGAAUAUCACAGAUGGCUGUUUUCAAAUAAAAACAAAUUAUUAACAUUAAUAUACUUUUUAAUGUGCAAUUAUAAUCUAUUAUACACAUGGAAAGUAAAUUAUAAGUACAUGAAAUACAAGUCAACUUAUUAAAAAUAAAGGUAACCUGAGUGUUCAGAUUUGCAGAGGGAUUAUCAUUAGACUAUAUGAGCCAUGUAUAUUAAAUACUU